RNAcentral lists this non-coding RNA (66 nucleotides) under unclassified sequences. RNAcentral describes it as "L2-Alphaproteobacteria ribosomal protein leader". It matches the Rfam family "L2-Alphaproteobacteria ribosomal protein leader". The record is from RNAcentral.
GCGGACCUACGGGGCCGUUCACAAUAGGGGCCAACCCGGCCCCGAAAGCAAAACGGAAGACAGAGA